UACAGGAAACUGGGGCUAAUACCGGAUAGGAGCUCCUGCUGCAUGGUGGGGGUUGGAAAGUUUCGGCGGUUGGGGAUGGACUCGCGGCUUAUCAGCUUGUUGGUGGGGUAGUGGCUUACCAAGGCUUUGACGGGUAGCCGGCCUGAGAGGGUGACCGGCCACAUUGGGACUGAGAUACGGCCCAG
RNAcentral lists this ribosomal RNA (185 nucleotides) under uncultured Actinomycetales bacterium. RNAcentral's name for it is "partial 16S ribosomal RNA". It matches the Rfam family "Bacterial small subunit ribosomal RNA", at positions 148 to 334 of the family's 1533-position model. The record is from RNAcentral. Lineage: Bacteria; Bacillati; Actinomycetota; Actinomycetes; Actinomycetales.